This 253-nucleotide ribosomal RNA is filed under the name uncultured bacterium. RNAcentral describes it as "partial 16S ribosomal RNA". It matches the Rfam family "Bacterial small subunit ribosomal RNA", at positions 524 to 776 of the family's 1533-position model. The record is from RNAcentral.
UACGGAGGGUGCAAGCAUUAAUCGGAUUUAUUGGGCGUAAAGGGCGCGUAGGCGGGUACGUAAGUCAGAUGUGAAAUCCCGGAGCUCAACUCCGGAACAGCAUUUGAAACUGCGUGUCUAGAGGGUAGACGGAGAAAGUAGAAUUCCACAAGUAGCGGUGAAAUGCGUAGAUAUGUGGAAGAAUACCAGUGGCGAAGGCGACUUUCUAGUUUACAUCUGACGCUGAGGCGCGAAAGCAAGGGGAUCAAACAGG